CCAAGGAAAACUAAAACUUCUAAAAACAGGUUUACUUAAAAUUAGGUUAUUGUAUUUAUCUCAUAAUUAGGCGAUUGUAUAAAGACCUGCUCCAUUUAUUUAUUAGACAGAUCUAACCCUGGCGGUCUAAGGCCUCUCCAAUCCUAUCUCUCUCAGAGUCUCAGUUAUUUCAUUGAAGCGCACUCAACGUUCUCCAUUAAAGCGCAGUUCACGCUCUCUGUUGAAUCUAAUUCUUGUAUCCCCCAUUGAAGCAGCUUCCGAGAUACAUUUUUAUAAUCCAUAAUUCGAUAAAGGAUUUAUGGAUACAGAAAAUAUUCCAGCCCCUUGUGUACACACAAACUUGAAGGAGGCUGAAUUAGGUUGUUUUGAUACACAACAUAUAGCAUACGCUAACUUAUUGUUAAAAAGUGCUGUGAAUCUGGAACGUAUGGUUAUUACUAUGGCGUUGAAGUGUUAUCAGGGAUGCGGUGUCGUAUGGAACGAUCCUUUUAAAUUGUUCACUAAGAAGGAAAGUGAAUUUAUUGGUCGUGCGUUGCAAGGAGUUGCUGCAGCUUCUAAUGUGGAUUUGAUUAUCCCUUGCAAACCUUGAUUAUCUAGGCUCGUCUGUACUAGUAAGAAUAAGAUAACUUGUUAUUGACCGUUCAUUAUUUUUGUCAGUGGCAAAUCCAGGGGUACACAGAGGAACAUGAUGUUAACGUAGUUAUAAUGUCUUAUUUUUUUCUGUUUUUGCUCUAAAGAUAUGUAAGUUUUUGAUGUUUUCGAAAAAUAGGUAAUGAAGUACUAGCAACACUAGCAUUUGUGGGAGUGGAAGUGAACUUGGUGUUGUUCUCAAAAUCGGUGUUGAGACAGACAAACGCCGAGGCAGCAAUCACCUUCAGUAUGUGGAUGGGUGUGGUGUAUCUGUUUUCAUUGAUAGGGGCUUUUCUCAGUGAUUCAUAUUUGGGAAGAUAUUUCACUUGCUUAAUCUUCCAAGCAGUUCUUACCAUUGGGUUAAUUGCAAGCUCCUUGACAACCAAACAUCUCCUACUAAAACCUGGUGGUUGUGGAACACUAGAGCAACAAUGUGAUCCUCACUCGAAAUUCGAGACAGCUAUAUUCUUCAUAUCUAUCUACUUAGUUGCCUUAGGUAACGGGGCAGCUGAACCUGCACUAGCUACAUUUGGGGCUGAUCGUUUGAUGAGGAAGAUCCUGAAGAAAGCCGAGCAAAGACCUCGUUCUUCAGCUACUUCUACGUAGCCUUAAACAUGGGUUCCUUAAUAGGAGAGACAAUUUUGGUAUACAUUGAGACAAUGGGAGAUUGGGUGCUUGGAUUUUGGAUAUCUAUUUGUUGUGGAAUUGCUGCUUUGGUUUGGCUGUUUAGUGGAACUAUGAGAUACAGGCAUUUUAAGCCUAGUGGUAAACUGAUAACCCGUCAAAAAAAAGCCAAUAAUAUAUAUUAUUGGUUUUUUUUUUUUUUUUUUUUUUUUUUUUGACGGGUUUAUUUUCCUCAAUAUAUAUUGUUAUUAAUUAUUAUUGGAAAUAAAAACUCAUAGUUUAUAUGGCAAAUAAAUAAUACUCCAUAAAUUAAGAGUAUAUUUUAAUGGA
Molecule: long non-coding RNA, 1584 nt
Organism: Chenopodium quinoa (quinoa)
Lineage: Eukaryota; Viridiplantae; Streptophyta; Magnoliopsida; Caryophyllales; Amaranthaceae
Exons: 3
Source: RefSeq, a predicted model, not a curated record